AGUGAACGCUGGCGGUAGGCCUAACACAUGCAAGUCGAACGGCAGCACAGUAAGAGCUUGCUCUUACGGGUGGCGAGUGGCGGACGGGUGAGGAAUACAUCGGAAUCUACUUUUUCGUGGGGGAUAACGUAGGGAAACUUACGCUAAUACCGCAUAUGACCUACGGGUGAAAGCAGGGGAUCUUCGGACCUUGCGCGAUUGAAUGAGCCGAUGUCGGAUUAGCUAGUUGGCGGGGUAAAGGCCCACCAAGGCGACGAUCCGUAGCUGGUCUGAGAGGAUGAUCAGCCACAAUAGAACUGAGACACGGUCCAGACUCCUACGGGAAGGAGCAGUGGGGAAUUUUGGAAAAUGGGGGCAAGCCUGGUCCAGCCGUACCGCGUGGGUGAAGAAGGCCUUCGGGUUGUAAAGCCCUUUUGUUGGGAAAGAAAAGCAGCAGGUUAAUACCCCGCUGUUCUGACGGUACCCAAAGAAUAAGCACCGGCUAACUUCGUG
Molecule: ribosomal RNA, 492 nt
Filed under: uncultured bacterium
Lineage: Bacteria
Description: partial 16S ribosomal RNA
Rfam family: Bacterial small subunit ribosomal RNA
Source: RNAcentral